Molecule: long non-coding RNA, 206 nt
Filed under: Lathyrus oleraceus (garden pea)
Lineage: Eukaryota; Viridiplantae; Streptophyta; Magnoliopsida; Fabales; Fabaceae
Description: Pisum sativum (pea) long non-coding RNA (PSAT_LNC037540)
Source: RNAcentral
UGAGAUUAAGGUGGGGAAAAAGAAAGGAAUCCCCUCUGACGCGUUUGGAUUCUCAUAUUUGAGAAAAAGUUUUUUUUUCUCUUUCAAUUCGGGCUUGUGUUGCUACUUGAUUGGAGAAUUUUAUCCCAAAUGAGAUAAGGGAGGAUCCUCCUCCUGCUAGCUGUCAGUCUCUCUCCCCUUUUAUUUCUUUAUCUUUUUUAGUUUUU